GGUUCGGUGGUGUAGUUGGUUAUCACAAUGGUUUAACAUUGGAUCCACAUUAAAAUGUAGUCCAUUGUCAACACCAUAGGUCCUCGGUUCAAGUCCGGGCCGAAUCA
Molecule: transfer RNA, 107 nt
Filed under: Cryphonectria parasitica EP155
Lineage: Eukaryota; Fungi; Ascomycota; Sordariomycetes; Diaporthales; Cryphonectriaceae
Rfam family: tRNA
About the family: Transfer RNA (tRNA) molecules are approximately 80 nucleotides in length. Their secondary structure includes four short double-helical elements and three loops (D, anti-codon, and T loops). Further hydrogen bonds mediate the characteristic L-shaped molecular structure. tRNAs have two regions of fundamental functional importance: the anti-codon, which is responsible for specific mRNA codon recognition, and the 3' end, to which the tRNAs corresponding amino acid is attached (by aminoacyl-tRNA synthetases). tRNAs cope with the degeneracy of the genetic code in two manners: having more than one tRNA (with a specific anti-codon) for a particular amino acid; and 'wobble' base-pairing, i.e. permitting non-standard base-pairing at the 3rd anti-codon position.
Source: Rfam by way of RNAcentral